GGACUACCCGGGUAUCUAAUCCCGUUCGCUCCCCUGGCUUUCGUGUCUCAGCGUCAGCACAACCCCAGCGAGCUGUUUUCACCUUCGGCGUUCCAGACGAUAUCUACGCAUUUCACCGCUCCACCGUCUGUUCCGCUCGCCCCUAGUUGGCUCAAGACAGGCAGUAUACCCAGCCGUUCCACGGUUGAGCCGUGGGAUUUCACAAGGUACUUGCCCGCCCGCCUACACACGCUUUAAGCCCAGUGAUUCCGCCUAACGCUCGGCACCUCUGUCUUACCGCGGCUGCUGGCAC
RNAcentral lists this ribosomal RNA (292 nucleotides) under uncultured bacterium. Its description in RNAcentral is "partial 16S ribosomal RNA". The record is from RNAcentral.